This 23-nucleotide microRNA is filed under the name Bombyx mori (domestic silkworm). RNAcentral's name for it is "bmo-miR-3352". The record is from miRBase by way of RNAcentral. Lineage: Eukaryota; Metazoa; Arthropoda; Insecta; Lepidoptera; Bombycidae.
UGGUCUUCUGUUCUAUUUGUGCU